AAUUGUUACAGCUCUUUUAGCAUUUGUCUAACAUUUAUUUCGGUUUUUACUGGAAAAUCCAC
RNAcentral lists this small nuclear RNA (62 nucleotides) under Carlito syrichta (Philippine tarsier). RNAcentral describes it as "U7 small nuclear RNA (ENSTSYG00000030933.1)". It matches the Rfam family "U7 small nuclear RNA". Rfam says of the family: Animal histone pre-mRNAs are spliced by a different mechanism than nuclear pre-mRNAs and self-splicing introns. The record is from RNAcentral. Lineage: Eukaryota; Metazoa; Chordata; Mammalia; Primates; Tarsiidae.